CAGGCCCCGCGGUGAGCGCACACCGGAGUGCAAAUCCGGAGAAGCACCCAAAAGGGUGCCGGGGCUUC
This 68-nucleotide transfer RNA is filed under the name Kolekanos plumicauda. Its description in RNAcentral is "tRNA-Cys". Lineage: Eukaryota; Metazoa; Chordata; Lepidosauria; Squamata; Gekkonidae. The record is from RNAcentral.